RNAcentral lists this ribosomal RNA (425 nucleotides) under uncultured bacterium. RNAcentral's name for it is "partial 16S ribosomal RNA". It matches the Rfam family "Bacterial small subunit ribosomal RNA", at positions 354 to 796 of the family's 1533-position model. The record is from RNAcentral.
GUGGGGAAUAUUGGACAAUGGGCGCAAGCCUGAUCCAGCCAUGCCGCGUGAGUGAUGAAGGCCUUAGGGUUGUAAAGCUCUUUCAGUAGGGAAGAUAAUGACGGUACCUACAGAAGAAGCCCCGGCUAACUUCGUGCCAGCAGCCGCGGUAAUACGAAGGGGGCUAGCGUUGUUCGGAUUUACUGGGCGUAAAGCGCACGUAGGCGGUUUGUUAAGUCAGGGGUGAAAUCCCGGAGCUCAACUCCGGAACUGCCUUUGAUACUGGCAAGCUAGAGUCCGGAAGAGGUAAGUGGAACUCCUAGUGUAGAGGUGGAAUUCGUAGAUAUUAGGAAGAACACCAGUGGCGAAGGCGGCUUACUGGUCCGGAACUGACGCUGAGGUGCGAAAGCGUGGGGAGCAAACAGGAUUAGAAACCCCAGUAGUCC